This 871-nucleotide ribosomal RNA is filed under the name Enterococcus faecium. RNAcentral's name for it is "bacterial SSU rRNA". It matches the Rfam family "Bacterial small subunit ribosomal RNA", at positions 30 to 870 of the family's 1533-position model. Lineage: Bacteria; Bacillati; Bacillota; Bacilli; Lactobacillales; Enterococcaceae. The record is from RNAcentral.
CGAACGCUGGCGGCGUGCCUAAUACAUGCAAGUCGAACGCUUCUUUUUCCACCGGAGCUUGCUCCACCGGAAAAAAGAGGAGUGGCGAACGGGUGAGUAACACGUGGGUAACCUGCCCAUCAGAAGGGGAUAACACUUGGAAACAGGUGCUAAUACCGUAUAACAAUCAAAACCGCAUGGUUUUGAUUUGAAAGGCGCUUUCGGGUGUCGCUGAUGGAUGGACCCGCGGUGCAUUAGCUAGUUGGUGAGGUAACGGCUCACCAAGGCCACGAUGCAUAGCCGACCUGAGAGGGUGAUCGGCCACAUUGGGACUGAGACACGGCCCAAACUCCUACGGGAGGCAGCAGUAGGGAAUCUUCGGCAAUGGACGAAAGUCUGACCGAGCAACGCCGCGUGAGUGAAGAAGGUUUUCGGAUCGUAAAACUCUGUUGUUAGAGAAGAACAAGGAUGAGAGUAACUGUUCAUCCCUUGACGGUAUCUAACCAGAAAGCCACGGCUAACUACGUGCCAGCAGCCGCGGUAAUACGUAGGUGGCAAGCGUUGUCCGGAUUUAUUGGGCGUAAAGCGAGCGCAGGCGGUUUCUUAAGUCUGAUGUGAAAGCCCCCGGCUCAACCGGGGAGGGUCAUUGGAAACUGGGAGACUUGAGUGCAGAAGAGGAGAGUGGAAUUCCAUGUGUAGCGGUGAAAUGCGUAGAUAUAUGGAGGAACACCAGUGGCGAAGGCGGCUCUCUGGUCUGUAACUGACGCUGAGGCUCGAAAGCGUGGGGAGCAAACAGGAUUAGAUACCCUGGUAGUCCACGCCGUAAACGAUGAGUGCUAAGUGUUGGAGGGUUUCCGCCCUUCAGUGCUGCAGCUAACGCAUUAAGCACUCC